This 435-nucleotide ribosomal RNA is filed under the name uncultured bacterium. Its description in RNAcentral is "partial 16S ribosomal RNA". It matches the Rfam family "Bacterial small subunit ribosomal RNA", at positions 29 to 507 of the family's 1533-position model. The record is from RNAcentral.
AGCGAACGCUGGCGGCAGGCUUAACACAUGCAAGUCGAGCGGGCAUCUUCGGAUGUCAGCGGCAGACGGGUGAGUAACACGUGGGAACGUACCCUUCGGUUCGGAACAACUCUGGGAAACUGGAGCUAAUACCGGAUACGCCCUUAUGGGGAAAGGUUUACUGCCGAAGGAUCGGCCCGCGUCUGAUUAGCUAGGUGGUGGGGUAACGGCCUACCAAGGCGACGAUCAGUAGCUGGUCUGAGAGGAUGAUCAGCCACACUGGGACUGAGACACGGCCCAGACUCCUACGGGAGGCAGCAGUGGGGAAUAUUGGACAAGGGGCGCAAGCCUGAUCCAGCCAUGCCGCGUGAGUGAUGAAGGCCUUAGGGUUGUAAAGCUCUUUUGUCCGGGACGAUAAUGACGGUACCGGAAGAAUAAGCCCCGGCUAACUUCGUG